CGAAAAAUUUUCAACAUAAAAAGUGUUAUCUAAACCGAACAUGGAAUUAGUUUUCCAUCAGACAACUUCACAUUUGAGAUCGCCAAAUGCUCUAGAGUUAUUGUUCGUUCAUAUACAUCUUCUCUUUGUUUCUCGGGCCUAUAGUGCGUUACAAAUAUAACUCGAAAAGGUCAAAUCUUUGAUGAUUCCAUCGAAUUAAACUAUCUAUUCCAACCGGGAAGAACAAACCAUUCAACAAAGAAAAUUCUGAAAUUGCAUAAGCUUGAUUCGAUCCAGCCUCUAGAGUUGCGACAACCUCUGAAAAGGUAUCCUACGUCUGAACCAAAUUCAUAAUGAUAUUAAAGGAACUAAAUUUUGUCAAGAAAAAAAAUGGGGACACAUUUACUUGAAAUAGUUUUCAAAUAAAUAUUUGAAAAGUUUAGGGGGCAAAUUGUUCAAAAUGCUAAACUUUUAAGGGGUAUCACCUCUUCCAUUUCUCUCAAACACCAUAGUUGAUAAGGCAGGCGGCAACGUUAAAGCUUUGCUCCAAGAAAAUGGCGUCUACUCCAAGCUCUACACUUUCUCCUCUCUAUGAAUCCAAUAUCUUCUGCAACUUCAAUUCUCCCCAAAAAUUCACUUUCCCCCUCAAACUUCACUCCAAAUCUUGUAUCCGAACGACCCAAGUGUCACUUCAAGAACAAUCCCAGGUCUCAAAUCCCAAUAAUUCUCAAUACUCGGAUAGAAAAGUUGUUUCUUCAUCAAAAAGCAAGCUUUGGGUCAACCCCAAAAGCCCCCGAGCUUCUGAGCUGAAGCGAAAGUCUUACGAUUUUAGGUAUGCUUCUCUAAUGAAAGUAGCUGAGUCUUUGGAUUCUUGUAAACCUGUAGAAGAAGAUGUCUUUUAUGUUUUAGUUGAUUUGGGUGACACAAUAGUAGAGCAAGAUGUUGUUGUGACUUUGAAUAACAUGACUAAUGCUGAAACUGCGUUGCUGGCUAUGAAGUAUUUUCAACAAAGGUUGAAAUUGAGCAAAGAGGUGAUUGUAUAUAAUGUGACGUUGAAAGUUUUGAGGAAAAAUAAGGAUUUGGAUAGAGCAGAGAAGUUGUUUGAUGAAAUGCUUGAGAGAGGGGUAAAGCCUGAUAAUGUUACUUUCUCGACUAUUAUUAGUUGUGCUAGGCUGUGUAAUUUGCCUGAAAAAGCUAUUGAAUGGUUUGAAAAGUUGCCAUCUUUUGGGUGUGAACCCGAUGAUGUUACGUAUUCUGUGAUGAUUGAUGCUUAUGGUAAGGCUGGUAAUGUAGACAAAGCACAUGACUUUGUUACCCUAAAUCGAUUAUUUAUCAUUUUCAUCAAUAACCAUAUCAUCACUUUCAUAUUUACUGAAUGUUCCAUCACUACUUUGGUAUUCACGUAAAAAAUCAUGUAAUACAAUGCAAACAACUACUAUAGAGGGUGUUUUUGUAAAAGAUAAAAGUUUAGUGUAAAAUUUCAAUUUUCAAAAGAUCCCAAAUAAUGAGAUUUGACCCAAAUACUAGAAAAAAGUAGUAUUUGGAAAUUUGAGAUAUUUGUCAAAAAUAUUUGCCAAAUAAUGGCAAAUUGUAUGGACGAACACUAUUUGCCAAAUUUUUCGCCAAAUAUUAAUUGGGAAAUCUAUGGCCAAACGGGCCCAUAGAGUUAGGCACCACGUGGGGGCAGUGCACCAACCCAAUCAACAGGGGCGGCUCUACAGCUUUGCAAAAAAAGCAAUUGGCUUAGUCCCCAAAAUUUGAGGGGCCUCAUUUUUAAAAAAAAUAAUAGGUUAUAAGUAUUUUUUUUUUAAAAAAAUAUCGAGUAUUAUUUGUAGAAAAUAAAAACUUUUUAUAAAAGAGCAAAGAAGUAAUAGAAGUUUGACAAAUUAUGAAUAUUAUGUCUCAAGAAAGAUUAAAUAAUUGACAAUAAUAAACUUCAUAAAAAAUAUAUAUUCAAAUUUAAGGCCUCUAUUCGAAUUUGUCUUUAGGCCACCGAUUUAUUAGAGCCGCCCUUGCCAAUCAAUUAAGAUAAAUAUUUAAAUAAAUUUCCUAACACAUAAAUGAUUUGGAUCAAAAUUAUUUAAUUCUAUUGAACUCAAAAGUAUAUCCCUGCUUAUUAAUGAUAAAAUGUGAAGAUUCUUCCAUAUUUCCAUACUUAUUAGUAGGGCCAACUUAACCCAUAGGCCACUAAAGUCAUCGCUUGGGGCUUCAUAUAUUUUGGGGCCUCAUAUAUUUUGGGGCCCCCAUUUUUAAAAACAAUUACUUAUAUAUGUUAUUUGAAAAUAAUAAUUAUAUGUACUAUGAGUGUUAUGAUUUCUACUAAGGAAAUUGCAUAUGAGAUAAAAAUAAACUGAAUUUCGUAAGAAACAAUUUGAUGAAAAUGUGGAUAGCGAAAUCACAAAAUCCCUUGAAGAACCUUUUAGAAUUGAUUGUUUUAUAUAUGUAAAGUAGAUCAAACUAUUUUUUCACUUCAAAAUAGAUUUGAACCAAUUGAAACAUAUGGAAAUAUUUUUGAUUUCUUAUUUAGUGGUAAAAUAUUGAGAUCACUAGAUGAUGAGAAUUAAAAAAAAAUUGUCUUAACCUUGAACUUUCUUUAUCAUGUGUUAGUUAUUAUGAUAUUGAUGGUUUAGAUUCAUUUUUUGAAUUAAAAGUGUUAAGGGAAAUAAUACAAGUAGAAGAUCGUGAUCUAAUAAAAAUUCUCAAUCAAAUAAAAAGACUUGAUUCUUUUCCAAAUACUCAUAUUGCUUAUAGAAUAAUGUUAACAGUUUCUAUAACUAUUGCCUCAGCCGAAAGAAGUUUUUUGUGAAAUUAAAAUUGAUUAAAUCUUCUUUAAGAUCAACAAUGUCUAAAGAGAGAUUGAAUGAAUUAGCUAUAUCAUCAUUUGAAAAGAAAUUAUUAAACCAAAUUGAUUAUAAUACAGUAUCUAAUGACUUCACAUCUAAAAUAGCUAGAAAAGUAGAUAUUAAAUAAAAGUAUAGAUGAUGAAAAAAAAUUAGGGCUCCUCUCUUAAGUUUUGCUUUAGGCCCCCAAUGUUGUUGAGUCGUCCCUGCUUAUUAGCCUGUCAUGAGAGCAAUUUCAGCAUAAAUUUUUUUUUCCAGAUACUUCAAAUCUGCACCUGAUAUACCAUUAAAAGUACCCGCUAGUUCUGAUUUGAGUUUUAACUUGAUGGAAUUUUUCAGGUAGAUCUGAAAGGGAAAGGAGAGGGUUGGGAAUCCGUGGAGAGAGAAGGAAGAUAAUGUUGACUAUGGUUAAAUGGUUGGUUUUAGCAAAUAAUCUGAACCGUCUAUUAAUUUGAGGGACACGUGUAGCAAAAAUUAACCCCCAACUGGAGGAACUGCUCCAAUGGAGGGGAGCCAAAUCCGACCUUCGACUCAAAAAUAUAAAUUUUCUUAAAGAGUAGAAACUUACCUCCCCCAUCUUUAAACAAUGCUGAUUUUCGAAUGAAUGUUUUCAAACUUUUUUGCACUUCAAAACUAUAGUCUGUGUUUGUAAUUGUCUCACUGCUUGUAGUGGGGAAAAACAUUUAAGUUGAGAGGUGGAGAUAAGCUGACAACAGCAAAAUCUGACGUGGAAUUUCUUAAAUUGCAUGUUACUUUCUCCGUCCCAAAUUAUUGGUCACGUUUCUCUUUUUAGGGUUAAACUACAUUCACUUAUAUCAAUUAAAAGUAUUUUUUUUUUUGUCAUAUUAAUUAGAGAAGAAUUGCAAUUUAUAGUGUUUUUUAAUAUAGUUUUUGAAUAUUAAAAUACCAAAUUGAUUUAAUAUAAUCAUAAUUAUUAAUCAAAUUAACUCUUAAGAAAUGAAACGCAACAAGAAUUUUGAGACGAAGGGAGUAUCGAAGACACAGUGGUUCAAUUUACUGAUUCAACUUCCUAUUAUUUGUCUUAGCUGUCCACUAUUGGUCAUUAAUUUACGUUACUUUUUUUCCUUUUAAUCUUCCAUUUAAUUUGUCUUUUUAAUACUCACUGCUUUUAUUUCCUAUCUUUGUUUAAAAUGGAUUAGCUUUUUAGCACGCGCUUUACGUAUGUACUUCAUAUUAAUGCGUAUAUAAUUUUAUGAAAGCUACAUAUAUUACAAAAUGAUGCAAUUGAGUUAUCACAUUUUUAUUUUUAUUUUUGUUAGUUACUAAACAUAAAUAAAUCAAAUAAUAAGAUUAGACUAGUUAAACUUAAAAUGUGCAAUUUUGAUAAUUCAACACUUUUAGCCAUGGUUAACUUACACCAAUUGACAAACAAAUAGUGGAUUCAACAACAAUUUGUCUUUCACUAACUUAAAAGUCUUGAAUUUAAUAUUUUGUUCUCCAAAAAGGCCAAUUCAAAGUCUGUUAACCAUGAUAAUAAUUUUGAAAGAAUAUUUGAGAACCCAAAAAGGCCAAAGAAAUUAGUACACAUUAGAUAUGACAAAGGAAGCAUCCUUUUUGGAUAAACUCUCUAAAUUAUUAGAUGAGUGUACCAAAGGUCCCUUUUUUCAAUUUCCUAUAUAUAAAAAUGAGUGAAAAGAACUAGAAAAGGAAACAAAAUUCAAUUGAAAUUCAAACGCAAUAGUAGUUUGUUGUACAAAUCAAUGACUUAGAGGAUGAUCAUCAUAGUUAGAGAAUAAUAGAGGCAUAAGAGAUUCAUUAUCAUCAUUUACAAUUUGAACAAAGAAAAGUGAUAAGAGAAUUCUUAUCAUUAUAGUAUAUUUUUAGUAUUAUUGUUUACUAGUUAAUAACCAUAAGGUCUCAUACUACUUAAACCUCAACAAAGAAAAAGUAUUAAGUGAUAUUUUUCGAUUAUUUAUAUUAAUAAGAGAUGGAUUGCAUUCGUAGAAGAAAUCAAGAUGCAUGCAAGAUUCAAAUGUUUUUUUUUUUUUUACUUUCAAAUUUUGUGUCAAGUCAAAAUAAGAUGAGCAAAUUCAAACUCCUUGCUAAUUUUUUGUGCAGAAUUCAAUUUUUUAUUUUUUAUUUUGGAAAAGAGAGUUUUGAAGGUGAUUGAUUUCUCAACUUUUUGUCUUGUUGUAAACAACUUGAUGCCUCUAUAGGGUCACAAUUCACCACUAUCAUUGCAUUGCUCACCAUUGUGCUUUUUCACUCAAAGACAAUAUAUAUAAAAAUACAAAUUUUCCGUCAAUUGAUUUUGUAGUCUUUUAUCAAAUUAUUUCAAUUUUUACAUUUUUUUUUGUUAGGAAUUUUUAUAUCUAUACUUAAGAGAUCUUUGCGUGAUCUUUUGAGUGGAGAGGUUCGAAAUAGGAGAGUCGAAUUAUGAAUUCAAACAUAGGUUCUUUUAAAAAAUAAUAAUUAUAAGUCAUUUGAAUAAUUAAUAAUUCUAAGUAUUAAAGAAUUAUUAGGCAUACUUCACUAACAUAUAUAUUAUUAUUACUUAUACUUUCAAUAUAUUACGUAUUUUACCACUAAUUAAGAGUUUUUUUUUUACGUAUCUUACACUUAGAUACAUGUAUUUUGCUACCAGAUACACAAAAUAGGUAGAGAUGUUAGUGAGAUUGAGGAAGGAAGCGAACGAGAUUCGUGUAUCCAGACACAUGGGAGAGUGGCGAGCGAGAUGGGAGAGAGAAAAGGGAGGUGAGCGAGGAUUUCUAUGUAUCCAGAUACAUGCGAAUCUUCUUGGAUACAAUGUAUCUAGAACAAAUUACACAUAAAUUUGACCCCACAUAUACGAGAUACAUGUAUUUGGGCAUAUCUCUGGAGGCACCAAAAUCUGGUCAAAUACCACUACAACAAAAGCAACUUUUAACGACAAUAAAUAGACACAUUAAUAAAGAGUGCUAAAGUCUUUACCAACAUUAAUUAGUUAUGUGUCAUUAGAUUCAAUGUUGCUAAAGGCUCUAGGGACAUAUACAAAGAGUGCUAAUUGCCGUUAAAAAUACAUACUUAGUGGCAAUUGAGCUAUUGAUGUUAAUUAAUUACCGCUAAAAAUCUUUUUUUUUUAUAUAUAGUAUACGUAAUAUUGCAAACUAAAGUGUAUCUAAGUAAUUAACUUUUAAACUAGUGAAAUUUAUUUAAAUUCUCAAUGAGAUAUAUGGAUAUGAUUCUCAUUAUGGGCUUUUGUGCAAGAAUGUGGUACGAACUCUUGAUUUUAUGGGCCAAUUUAAUAGAACAAAAUAGCCCAACUUUAUGAAUGGCCCUGGGAAUUCACUUUCAAAUUGAAAUACUUAAUGGACAUCCUCAACAGGUUACUUAUAAAGGUCUAAUUCACUUCGUUGAGAUACCAAUUGUUGACACCCAAUUUUGGACCUCCACAAUAUAUAUUAAUCAUCGAGCUUCUUAAAUUCCAAACUAUUUGAAAUAAUUGAAUUUAUAAAAUUCAAAAUAUUUGCUAAGUUAUUUUAAAUAGUUUUGUCACAUUUUAUUAUUUUUAAAUAAUAUAUAUGUUUUAAAUAAUUAUGUAUAUAAUUAGUAUAUUUUAUGAAUAUUCGAAAUUCGUCUCAAAAGGAUUUUAGUUUUAGUUAAAUAUCUUGUCAACUAAUUUGGUUUAAGUAAUAGUUUAUAUUUUUAAAUUAAUUAAGUUAAUUAUUUUAUUUUGUUAAGAUUAGGAAGCUCGUUAAUGAAUACUAAUUUAUUUUAUAUAAUCUUUAGUCGGAUUCACUAAUAAAAUUCAAUUUGGCUAGAUUGUUAAUUUAUUUGCCUAACCUUUUAUUUGCAACUUUAGCCAUUAAUUUCCUCACCCCAAACCCAUUUGGGACAAACCAUUUUUGGGUCUUCCUUUAAAUUUCCAGCAGCCCAUCUCCUUCCCAGCCCAAAACUUUCAGCCCACUAUCUCACACCAUACAACAAACAACUCCAACCCACUUUCCAAUUUUCAGCUACCCGGCCCAAGCCCAUUUUUUUUUUAACAAAAUAUCCAGCAACACAACAAUACAAUACACAGCAGCAACAAACCCACUCAAAAACAGUACCCCACCGCCCAACUUCAUCUUCCUCGCUGAAAAUCAGCAAUCAACAGCCGCGACCCCACUGCCCAUAGCGUCUUCUUCACGCAGAAAUCCCGGCAAACCCGAAAAUCCAGCAGUAAAUUCCGGCGCGACAGUGUCCGCCCAUACGUAUGUCACCCUCACGUCCAAUCGUCCCCAUUUUCCCCAUGUUUCGAGGUUUCAGAGCAACAACAACUCUCUAUUGCUUUUACUGUUGCCUCGAAAAGGAACGGGGGAUUCAAAAUUCAAAUGGAUUUUACCCAAAAAUCAACCCUAUUCUGGACUUUAUUUAAGAUCCCUUUCUCGUUGUGUCUAAAAAGGGAGACGGUUUUUAGGGCUUGUUCUUUGACAAUACAUUCAAGAAAUUUUAAAACGAUUUUUCUAAUUCUAGGUUCUAAGAAAGGUUUCGUCUGAAGUUACUUAGAAAUUCUUGGUUUGCUACUUGAGUCGAAGGUGUGCGAGAAGUCCUCUUGCCAGUCGUCUCCAGUAUCGCUGCUCCGAAAAAGGUAAUACCCCCUUCCCUACGAACUUCACUAUUCGUUUUCCAAUGGUUUGCAACUCAUUUUGGUUAAUGAAGUUUCUUGGUUCUUAUUAAUAUGAGGUUCUCCUUGUACAUGAUUUUAAUAAAAGUACUUCAACUUUAUGAAUAUGUUAGGCAGUAGGUACUUACAUUGUACACUUCUUCCUGGAUUUAACUCGUGUGAUAGGAGCUUAGGAUGAAUAGGGUAAAAUCUGAAAUCUUGACUAAUAGAUGCCCUUCGUUCACUUAUUGAGAUGUAUGCUCCGUCAUGUGUGAAUUUAAUUAAAAAAGAUUGUACGUUGUUAGUUAACAUUGAUAUGAUCUUCACAUCCGAACUAAGUACGUCCGUAUCUUCAACAUGUGUUGAUUGAGUUUUUUUUUUUUUUCUUCUAUAAUGUUCCAGUAAGCUAUUUGUAUUUAAAUUGGAAUUUUACACUUGUUAGGGGUUGGGUUGUCUUAUUAUUAUUUUUUUUACCUUGUAUUGAUUCAAUCACUAAGCUAAAGACUUUUGACCCCCCUCCAUGCCCUUAGUGUUAAAUGUAUAUAGAUAUUUGGGUUAUGAAAAAAAAAAAAAGAAUGUACAGUAUUUGAUAUUAUCUCCACCAUUUUAUUUUCUUCAAAAUCAUAUGUUAAUUCCUUCACACAUAUAUACCAAAUUAUGAUUAGCUGUAGAGAGUAAAAUGUUGGACUUCUAAUGUGAAAAUUGAAUAUGGACUGAUUUGGUAUUCACAUGAUUUAUUUUGGUCUUGUUCCAGUGAAGAAAAUAGUAAGAAUUAAUGCUCCUACUUGUUUAAUUUGUUUUCGUCAUUUAAUUGUCUCUUAAUUUUAAGUCCAAUAGGUAGUGUAGCACUAAAUUACAAUUGAUUCUUGGUGCUCUACAAUUCAUUUCUCUUGUUGCAUUGUUCUUUUUCUAUCUUGGGCAGUAAGAUCAUGAUAAUGACUUCAUGGAUGAUGUGUUGUUUUAUUUUUUAACAUUUGUACAAGUAUAGACACUAAUCCUCUUCUUUGUUUUUUUUCUCUUCUUCUUUGUUAUAUGUGACAUCAAAUCUGAGUUCUCUUUUGACUCCACCCUUGCAUAUCGAUGAAUUAUUUCGAGUCAGCCUCAUCUUGUUCGAGUUGCUGGAAAGUUAAAUUACAGGUCCCGAAAAGUCGAAAGUGGGUUGUAUACAUGUUGUAUACAGCGGUAUACGCUGAUAUUCAGGCCCAAAACAUAAAAACACAGGGCUGAGGCGGAAUAUAUACGUUUGGAAGCAAGAAAUACCUGAAAAGAGCUAAUAUAUGCGCUCAUAUACACUGAUAUACAUCCACCGUAUACCAAAAACGGGAUUAGGGUUAAACCAAAAAUUACCAACGAAUUUGGCCCAAAAGGAGGCCCAAAUUCAUUUUCUCCCUUACUCUUUAAUUAUAUAAUUGUGAUUAUUUAUUGUUUAUUGUUUAACUCUAACUUUAUAAUCGCAAAUCAACUUAGUCGAAUUCCCCAAAAGACGAACUAUCUCUCUGUGUUGUUUUGUUUCUAACAAAAAUCUUAUUUUUAUCAACUUUUGUAUUUUCAUUUAUAAUCUUUAGUCAUUUUUUUUUAUUUAGUUUAAAAAUAGUUUUUUUUUUUCAUAAACCAAAAAAUGACUCGAAUAAAAACCAACUAAUUUAGUUUCGCUAAAAUUCUUAUUACUUGUCUCUAAAUCAAAUAUUUCAAUUAAGGUCCCAUUUUUCCUAAAAGAUAAAAUCGCUCUUUGUUUAACUAUUUUUUCAAAGUUAAUCUAGUAGUGUAAAUAAAUAAAUACUUACUUAGUUAUUUUCUCAAAAAGGUUAGUCAAUCAAUUCAAAAAUGAUUUUUCAUACUUUAAUUUAUUAAAUUGGUUUAAUAUAUUUUAAAAUGAACUAAAUAAAUUCUAAUUAGUCUAGUUUUUUUUUUUAUUUAAUUUUCUAAUCACUUGCACUUUAAUUCAAAUAUUUCCCUUUUAGGUCUCUUCCUCUAAAAAGAUAGAAUAAAAUGGUUCAUUCCUUAGUUAUUUUUCAAACUUAAUCAAAUAGUGUAAAUUAUUAUAUAUUUUUAUGUUAAAUUAUUUUUUCUAAAAAUAGUCAAAUAUAUUUUAGUCAAGUCGCAGGUCAACCGCAUGUUAGCGGACACUUCGAAUGCUUAAACCCUUCUCGAAGUGUAAAUUGAACCCCGAACCCUCUUUGGUAUUUUCAAAUGAUUUUUCUGUUUAAAUCUUUGAAAAUUAUAAGUUUUCUUAAUUCCUUUAAAAAAUUAAGUGGCGACUCUUUUCUAAGUAUUUUUCUCAAAUUGUUUUAUACUUAGAACAUUUCAAAAAAGUGAUUUUUCUGAAUAUAGUAAAAUUACGACACAACAACAAGUAUUUGUAAAAACUUAAUGUAUUAAUAUAUUAAACAAGAUAAAGUAUAACAAUUUAGCAUAUGAACACGAUAAUUUGAAAAAUGAAUACAUUGUUGUUAAACAAAAAUGAAUACACCAGUAUAGUAUACAUAUGAAUACAUUGUUGUUAAACAAAAGAUGGAUAUGUUUGACAAUACAUAAACAAAAAAAAAUGAAAAAUAAUAGAAUGUGUAGGUAGCAAAAGUGUGCAAGUAUUCGGCUGUAUAAAAAAAUGAAAAAAACCAACAAACGUCAAUCUCUUUUUGGUCAAGUUUUUCUUAUAAUACUUGAGGCUUGGUGUUGACUCAUGUAUUUGUUUAUAAAAAAAUAGUAUUAAUGUAUCCAAUUAUACUUGUAUUGCCUAAUUAACCUUUCAAAUUCGAUAGAUUACUUAUGUAUCCAAAUAUACUUGUAUUCACAAAUCACCAUUUCAACUUGUGUUAAUAUUAGAAUACAAGUAUCUAUGUAUAUAACUAUUCUACUAUAUACAAAUUUGACAAUCACACAAACCUCAAUCUCUUUUUGCUCAUGUUCUUCUUGUACUACUUUUUUCUUAUAACUAUAGCCAUUGUAAUGUAGAAACAAAUAAUUCUUCAAUCGAAAGCCUAUAAAAAUAGAUGCAAUAUAUAUGUAUACAAAUAUGAUCUUCAUAAAAACGAGGAGAAAAUCAAUUAAGCGAUAUCUGAUGAAUUCAAAUUACAAAANNNNNNNNNNNNNNNNNNNNNNNNNNNNNNNNNNNNNNNNNNNNNNNNNNNNNNNNNNNNNNNNNNNNNNNNNNNNNNNNNNNNNNNNNNNNNNNNNNNNNNNNNNNNNNNNNNNNNNNNNNNNNNNNNNNNNNNNNNNNNNNNNNNNNNNNNNNNNNNNNNNNNNNNNNNNNNNNNNNNNNNNNNNNNNNNNNNNNNNNNNNNNNNNNNNNNNNNNNNNNNNNNNNNNNNNNNNNNNNNNNNNNNNNNNNNNNNNNNNNNNNNNNNNNNNNNUAUUCUACUAUAUACAAAUUUGACAAUCAAACAAACCUCAAUCUCUCUUUGCUCAUGUUCUUCUUCUAUUUUUUUUUACAACUAUAGCCAUUAUAAUGGAGAAACAAAUAAUUCUUCAAUUGAAACCUUAUAAAAGUAGAUAAAAAUAUAAAUGUAUACAAAUAUAAUUUUUCAUAAAAACGAGGAAAAAAUUCUAUUAGAAGAUAUUUCUUUUCCUCAAAGACAGAACCAAUGGUCUAUUUUAUUAAACAAAAGGAAAUGAUACAGACUUGGUUUCAGCCCAAGUCAAAACAAAAAAAAGAAGAAGAACCAAACGUAACAAGAUAGCAAAGACAAAAUAAAAUAAAAAAGACAAAAGCUUUAAACAACCAUCGGAGAAAUGAGAGGUCACUGGAGAAGAUGAUGAAUUCAAAUCACAAAAAAUGAUCCUAGAGUUAUGUAAAAGAAUCUUAAAUUGGAAGGAAUUUGUGGGGGAAAUAUAGAAAAUUUGUGAUAAAGAGAUAUUGAUGAAAGAGAGUAUUAAUGAGGGUAAAUAUGGGGACCAAUCACAUAAAACGUGCCUAGCAUAACUAAUUAUGUGUGUAAUAAUAACUUUCCUAUUUAAUAUUUAAUAAUUUCCUAUUUAUUUAUAUAUAAUUAACUUUGCUAUUUAUUGUGUAAUUAUAUCCAUAUAACAUAAAAAAAAUUGUAGCUAUUUAUCUUUAAUGUAUAUUGAUGUUUGCCAUAUUCUGUAGUUUUUCCUUUUAAUUUAAAUAUGUUACGUAAUUUUGGGAGACAUUAAUUUUGGUGCUUUACUUUACGAAGAAGCAUUAAUCAUGCUAAGAAUAACAAUAAUUUCUGAAUAUUAGUGGUUAGUCAAUCAUGCUACAACUAGGAUAAUAUAUUUAGAUUUCAUUGUUCUUUCUUAUCGUCGAUUGAUUUGAAUAAGAUUGCAUGAGAAUAAAGUAUCAAAUAAGGUGUAUACAGAGACAUCAUUAUCAAAUCAAACAUGUUUGAACUUCAAGAGAUCACAUGUCGAACUUGUGGCGUUUCAAGAAGGUUUCAAAAUGUUUGAUAAUAGAUUUUUAUGCAAUCUUUCAGAACCUUCAAUAAAUUAAAUUCAUUAUACAAUUUAUAUUUUAACAUGAUAAUUAUUCCCUAUUAAUCUUCGUAUUGAAUCAAACACUAUCACAUAAAUUAAAAUAACUUAGAAUUUGGCUAUAGAUCAACAAAGUUAUUAAGCCGCCCCUCACUUUGUAGUUAUGGAUUUUGAGUUUGGUCCCUCACUACCCACCUUGACAUUAAACUUCUACCUAAAGUAAAAGAAUCCCGCAUUUUUUUAGUACUAAUGAUGUUGACCUUUGUCUUUUCUAUAUCAUCGCUAUCAAUUUGGUUUUAUUUAUUAAUUUACUAAAUAUAUAAUUAUGGACCAAUUACUAUUAAAUAUUAAUUUCAGAUUGAUGAUGAAUUCAUAAACUUCAAAUCUUGGAUUCGUUUCUUGAAAUUAUUUGAUCUUUCCUAAACUAUCAAAAAGGUCACAGGGUUAGACCUUCAAUGUGUGACCUAGUAGUCAAUAAAUUGAGUUAAAAACCAGGAGUUGUAAUGGAGACAAUAAUAAAAAAAAACUAUGUGAUUUAAUUUCUUCUCAUAUAUAUGUUGAAGACUUACUUGGUGCAUGUGUUGAUAAGAGAUAACAUAUACCUUUAAAAUUGAUUGAGAUACAUGCACAUUAACCGACACACCACAACUAAUCAUUUUCCACUUGCAACUUUUCUAAUUAGUCCAUUAUUUUAUGUGUCAACUAUGUUCAACUAUCUUCAUUUACACCCUUUUGUAGAAGACAAAAAAGUGGAAAGGAUUUAUGAUUACAAAUUAAAUUUAAUGUCAAAUUAAAGAUUGAAUGCCUACAUAUAGCUGGCACCAUGUGGGGGUAGUACACCAACCCAACCAAUUUAGAUAAAUAUUUAAAUAAAUUUCCUAACACAUAUAAAUAAUUAUUUGGAUCAAAACUGUUUAAUUUUACAGAACUCGAAAGGUACCUCCCUUAUUAAUGAUAAAAUGUAAAGAUUCUUUUCCUCCCUUGCUAGUAUUAUAAUUUAACAUGUUAUAACAAAUUAAUCAUCAAUUACUCUAUCAAGUUGUUAUGCUUAUCAUCAUAAAAUUUACCUGUAAUUGAUUAUGUAGAUCUAGAAAAAACAAUUAAAAUUAAUGUGUUUUGGUAUUAAUAUUGAUUGUUUCCUCCAUCUUUAAUCAGAGGUCUUGAGUUUAAAUUCUUGUAAAAAUGAAAAAAUCUUGUUGGAAGGGUUAUUCCCACAAAUAAAAUUUAAUCCACUUCGAUGUAAAUAUCGAACAUCGAAUGAGAAAUCAAAAGAGAAUAUAUUUGCUUGGUAUGAAAGGGAAGACCAUCAAAGGCAGUACAUGCAAAUAAUUGAGAUAAUAUAUAUAUAGUCAGCAAUUCUAGUGGCUGCCAAUUUAGAUGAUAUCAUGAAUUUUUGAUGUUUCAUUCAUACUAGUAUAUAUUUUCAUUAAAGCUACACUCUUUUCACUCCACACAAAAUCCAUUUUCUUCAAGUAUCAACCAUGGGGGGUGAAAAGGUAUGAAUUCACUAAUUUUCUGUAUUCGAAAAAGACUUUGAUCGAUCUAUCUAUAGCUAUAUGACGUUUGAUCAAGAAUUUAAUACAUAUGAUUGAUUAUAUAAUCGCACUUAUAUAGAUUCUGAAUUUUUGUUCUCCUAUUGUAUCUUUUCACUUCCACAAAUACAAAAUAAUUUAGUUCAUUCUUGCAUAAUAUUGUUCACAAAUCUUUUCUAUUAAGAGCUUUGAUUAAUUGUGUGCUUACAAUUACUUUAAUUUAUUGUUUAAUUAUCAGACCGCUAUCAUGGUACUCAAGGUUGAUCUUCAAUGUUCAAACUGCUACAAAAAGGUCAAAAAAAUUCUCUGUAAAUUCCCUCGUAAGUUUCUUUUUUCUUGAAUUCUUCAAUAUUAUUAUAACAUGAAUAAGAAUUAAUUUGAUUUUUUUCCUUUUUUUUUUCGUGUCAAUUUUUUUUUGGGAAUAGAAAUUAGAGACCAAGUAUAUGAUGAGAAGGGCAAUACAGUCACAAUCACUGUGGUUUGUUGUAAUCCUGAAAAACUUCGUGACAAAUUGUGUAGUAAAGGAUGUGGAGUAAUCGAAAGCAUUGAAAUCAAAGACCCCAAAAAGCCCAUAAAAACUAAUGUUGACAUCAUUGAAAAGCCUACAGAGUCCGAAAAACCUAAGGUUGUCAUCAUUGAAAAGCCUGAGGUUGUUAUCAUUGAAAAACCUAAAGAAAUCAUAAAGCCCGAAGAAGUUCCUAAACCUACACUAGUUGCUCUCGUAAUGCCAAUACUAAUUCAAGAAUACCCACAACCGCCACACGGAUAUUGUUGUGGACAAUGCUAUGAAGGCCAAAUCGGGGGCCCAUGUUAUCUAGGGUAUGGAAGACAGCCUAGGCCUGGGCCUUAUGGCUAUGGUACGGGUUGUUAUGUGAGCAGAUGUGAUCAGUACUUGAAUGAUGAAAAUGCUAAUGGUUGCUCAAUUACGUAAGGUGGCCCAAUUGUUAUGGUUCAAUGUCUGGGCUCAUCAAUGUGGGCUUCUAUUAGUGUGGUUGUCUUGUUUUCUUUACAAAUUGUUAUAAAUAAUAAACAAUGUAUAGUUAAUUUUCUUUUGUAAAAUAGAAUAAAAGUUGUUAACUAGAUUGUUGGCAAAGCCUUGAUUGAUUAAUAAAUGCCAUUUUUCAACAUUACUAGUGGUCUAAUUUCUCAAAAAAUUUAACAAGUUCAAUUGAAAAUCCUUCUAAUUCCAAUUUGUGUACCACUCAACGAAGAUACUUAAGUUUCCACAUAAAAUAAGUUAUAAGAUUGUUAUUUUGGUUGGAGAAAAAAAAGUAUUGUACGACUAAUUAAGCCUAAUUGUUCUAGAAUUAGAGUUAUAAGUCUUCAAUAUUUGGGAUUUUUUUUUUUUGAAAAACAACUCUUGGUUUGAUGUUUCAUUCUUUUGGCUCUCCAACGCAAUCGGUUAGGAAGUUAAUUAUUGUUGAAACUAUGACAAUAAGAAAUACAUUACAAACUAUGGUUUGUAAAGGAUAAUAUGGGAAAUUUCCUUUCUUAUCAUAUGCUAAAGAUAUGAGGGGAUUUUCUUCGUGGCUCGAGAGAUGGAAUACAUAGGACCCCUCAAGUUUGAAAUAAUUCGUUGAGAAAUUCACAUGAAAAGGAACGAGAAAUUUUCAACUUAAAAAGUCCUAUCUAAACCGAACAUGCAAUUAGUUUUCCAUCAGACAACUUCACAUUUGAGAUCGCUAAAUGCUCGAGAGUUCCUCUAUUUAAUCAUUUUCCUUCUUUUUGUUACUGAAUAUCUCAUUCAUACACAACUUUUCUUUAUUUCUCGGGCCUCAAGUGAGUCACAAACAGAACUCGAAAAGGUCAAAUCUUUGAUUCCGACCGAGAAGCACAAGCCAUUCAACAAGGAGAUUCUCAAAUUGCAGAAGCUUGAUUCGAUCAAGCCUCUAGAAUUGUGAUAACUUCUGAAUAGGUAUCCAACGUCUGAACCGAAUUCACAAUGAUAUUAAAGGAACUAAAUUUGUCUAGAAAAAAAUAAUAGGGAAUCCACAUUUACUUGAAAUAGUUUUCAAAUGACUAUUUCAAAAGUGUAGGGGGUAAAUUGUUCAUAAUCCUAAACUUUUAAGGGGCAAUAUGUCAAUCCUUUUUUAUCAAUUUCACCUCUUCCACCAUAGUUGAUAAGGCGGGCAGCAACGCUAAAGCUUUGCUCCAAGAAAAUGGCGUCUACUCCAAGCUCUACACUUUCUCCUCUCUAUGAAUCCAAUAUCUUCUGCAACUUCAAUUCUCCCCAAAAAUUCACUUUUCCCCUCAAACUUUACUCCAAAUCUUGUAUCCGAACGACCCAAGUGUCACUUCAAGAACAAUCCCAGGUAUCAAAUCCCAAUAAUUCUCAAUACUCAGAUAGAAAAGCUGUUUCUUCGUCAAAAAGCAAGCUUUGGGUCAACCCCAAAAGCCCCCGAGCUUCUGAGCUGAAGCGGAAGUCUUACGAUUUCAGGUAUGCUUCUCUAAUGAAAGUGGCUGAGUCUUUGGAUUCUUGUAAACCUGUAGAAGAAGAUGUUUUUAAUGUUUUAGCUGAUUUGGGUGACAAAAUAGUAGAGCAAGAUGCUGUUGUGACUUUGAAUAACAUGACUAAUGCUGAAACUGCGUUGCUGGCGAUGAAGUAUUUUCAACAAAGGUUGAAAUUGAGCAAAG
This 15998-nucleotide long non-coding RNA is filed under the name Solanum tuberosum (potato). RNAcentral describes it as "long non-coding RNA (STUB_LNC010345)". The record is from RNAcentral. Lineage: Eukaryota; Viridiplantae; Streptophyta; Magnoliopsida; Solanales; Solanaceae.